GGGGAUGCAAGCGUUAUCCGGAAUCAUUGGGCGUAAAGCGCCUGUAGGUUGUCUAAUAAGUCUGUUGUUAAAGACUAGGGCUUAACCCUAGGAAAGCAAUGGAAACUGCUAGGCUUGAGUAUGGUAGGGGUAGAGGGAAUUUCUAGUGUAGCGGUGAAAUGCGUAGAUAUUAGAAAGAACACCAGUGGCGAAAGCGCUCUACUGGGCCAUUACUGACACUGAGAGGCGAAAGCUAGGGGAGCGAAAGGGAUUAGAUACCCCUGUAGUCCUAGCCGUAAACGAUGGAUACUAGGUGUUGUGUUUAUAUACAGUAUCGUAGCUAACGCGUUAAGUAUCCCGCCUGGGGAGUACGCUCGCAAGGGUGAAACUCAAAGGAAUUGACGGGGGCCCGCACAAGCGGUGGAGCAUGUGGUUUAAUUCGAUGCAACGCGAAGAACCUUACCAGGGCUUGACAUACUACAAAUCUUUUGGAGACAAAAGAGUACCUUUGGGAAUGUAGAUACAGGUGGUGCAUGGCUGUCGUCAGCUCGUGUCGUGAGAUGUUGGGUUAAGUCCCGCAACGAGCGCGCACCCCUCGUUUUUAGUUGCCAAUUUAUUGGGAUUUCUAGAAAGACUGCCGGUGAUAAACCGGAGGAAGGUGAGGAUGACGUCAAGUCAGCAUGCCCCUUAUGUCCUGGGCCACACACGUGCUACAAUGGCAAAGACAAAGAGUCGCAAAUUCGCGAGGACUAGCUA
This is a ribosomal RNA of 735 nucleotides. It matches the Rfam family "Bacterial small subunit ribosomal RNA", at positions 528 to 1270 of the family's 1533-position model.